This 30-nucleotide ribosomal RNA is filed under the name Ectocarpus siliculosus. Its description in RNAcentral is "partial 5.8S ribosomal RNA". The record is from RNAcentral. Lineage: Eukaryota; Phaeophyceae; Ectocarpales; Ectocarpaceae.
AAACUUUCAGCGACGGAUGUCUUGGCUCCC